AACAAGAAAAUAUUUGAAAGUGUAUUUAAUAUAAAAUAAUACUUUCCUAUUAAUAUUAAGAACAAUUAAUAUAUAUAUAACAGAAGUGGUUGAGUUUUAAAUAGAAGUAUUCUUAUAGAAGUACCUUUUGUAUCAGGGUGUUAGGAUUGCUUUAAAGAUUAUAUUUCCCGAAAUAAAAGGAGCUUAUAUAAAAGUUAGUUAAUGUUAAAUUAUUAUUAUUAAUCUUAUAUAAGUUGUGAAAAGUAAUACGGCUUUUUAUAUAUCUGGUUUCUAAGAUAAAAGUUUUAAACUUUAUAACCUUUAUAUAUAAAGGUUAAAUAAUCUUAUGGGGAUAAUCUCGUAAGAAAAAUGUAUUAAUAAUAUUCAAUUUUUUAAAAUACUUGUCUAAGCUUGGAGAUUUAUUAUACUGAAAAAAAUAGAAUCAUAAUCUAUCAAUUAGUAAUCUAAAAAACUUCCUAAAAGGAACUCGGCAAAAAUAGGUUUCGCCUGUUUAUUAAAAACGUGUCUUUUUGAUAAAUUAAAAAGUCAAGCCUGCUCACUGUGAGAAUAAAUAGCUGCAAUAUCAUGAUUGUACUAAGGUAGCAUAAUAACUUGUUUCUUAAUUAGAAGCUGGAAUGAACGGCUGGAUGAGAGCCUUUCUGUCUCUUAUGGUAAAAGACUAAAUUAAAACUUUUGUAAAAAUGCAAAAAUUAUUAGGAGGGACGAGAAGACCCUAUAGAUCUUUAUAUUUCUUUUUUUCCACCCUAAAAAGGGAAAAAAAGAAAUGUUUAUCUGGGAUGGAGAUGAUAAUCAAACUUUAUAUUAAACUAAAGACUAAUUAGUUAAAUAGGAGAAACUGAAAUUAUAAGAACAAGUUACCUUAGGGAUAACAGCAUAAUUUUAUUAAUUAGACCUUAUAUUUAAUAAAGUUUAUGACCUCGAUGUUGAAUUAAGUUUCUUCUAAUAGAAAAAGAUUAGAGCAGAUAGUCUGUUCGACUAUUAAAAACUUACAUGAUUUGAGUUUAGACCGACGUGAGUCAGGUCAGAUUCUAUCUUCCUAAUAUUAUACUUUUUUGUACGAAAGGACUAGAGGUUGGAAGGACAAUUUUUUUACUAUAGUUUAAAAAAACGUUCUAUUAUC
Molecule: ribosomal RNA, 1120 nt
Filed under: Fulicoffula longipila
Lineage: Eukaryota; Metazoa; Arthropoda; Insecta; Psocodea; Philopteridae
Description: 16S ribosomal RNA
Source: RNAcentral